UCGAACUCCUGACCUCAGGUGAUCUGCGC
RNAcentral lists this non-coding RNA (29 nucleotides) under Homo sapiens (human). Lineage: Eukaryota; Metazoa; Chordata; Mammalia; Primates; Hominidae. The record is from RNAcentral.